RNAcentral lists this ribosomal RNA (433 nucleotides) under uncultured bacterium. RNAcentral describes it as "partial 16S ribosomal RNA". It matches the Rfam family "Bacterial small subunit ribosomal RNA", at positions 29 to 507 of the family's 1533-position model. The record is from RNAcentral.
AACGAACGCUGGCGGCAUGCCUAACACAUGCAAGUCGAACGAUCCCUUCGGGGAUAGUGGCGCACGGGUGCGUAACGCGUGGGAACCUGCCCUUAGGUUCGGAAUAACUCAGAGAAAUUUGAGCUAAUACCGGAUAAUGUCUUCGGACCAAAGAUUUAUCGCCUUUGGAUGGGCCCGCGUUGGAUUAGCUAGUUGGUGGGGUAAAGGCCUACCAAGGCGACGAUCCAUAGCUGGUCUGAGAGGAUGAUCAGCCACACUGGGACUGAGACACGGCCCAGACUCCUACGGGAGGCAGCAGUGGGGAAUAUUGGACAAUGGGCGAAAGCGUGAUACAGCAAUGCCGCGUGAGUGAUGAAGGCCUUAGGGUUGUAAAGCUCUUUUACCCGGGAUGAUAAUGACAGUACCGGGAGAAUAAGCCCCGGCUAACUCCGUG